Long non-coding RNA from Cornus florida, 748 nucleotides. RefSeq lists it as uncharacterized. The record is from RefSeq and is a predicted model, not a curated record. The transcript is spliced from 2 exons. Lineage: Eukaryota; Viridiplantae; Streptophyta; Magnoliopsida; Cornales; Cornaceae.
AGUGAGGCUGCCGAAAUAGGGAAGCAAAAGAGAAGCUUGAAAUGGUAUUAUGGUGGCGGGUCCCACUAAUAUAUUGUUCUUUUUGCUUUUGACUUUCAGGUGGCCUUUGUUUUGUGUGGUGGGCGGUUAGCUGAAUUAGAGGAAUAAAGAGAAAAUGGUGAUGUAGGUAACGAGAUCCACUAAUAAUUGUGAUCAUUAUUUUGAUUUUGAUUUUUUUUUUUUUUUUUUUUUUUUUUUUUUUUUUUUUUUGAUUAGCUGUUUGCAUUAAGUCGGUGGAUAUGCCUUUGUAUAUAGUGAGGUGUGUUUGUGCACGAAGUGAGGUUACAUAGAGAACCGUGCGAACAGACAGAGAGAGAGCCGAGAAGGACUUGAAGACUUUGAUGAUCCAUGAUAUUUCUUUUACAGUGGAUUUAGACUUUGCUACUGAAGGCAAAGUCGACGAGCGCGUCUAGAUCUACGAUUUAAUCGGAGCAAAGUCUCGUUUGGCCGCCAUUGGAUUUCGAAAAAUUGGACCCACUUUGGGGGUUUUCUCCUUCUUUGAGAUCACGAAAAAGAAGUGGUAGAUAACAUUCCACCACAGGCCUAAUAUGGAUUAGAAGAUGAUUUUGUUGUUUUUGUAUUUAAGUUUCACUAUUCUUUUGUAAAAUUUAGAAUAUUGUAUUCUAUACUGAGACUUAUGGACUUUUGUUAUUAUAAUUAUAUUCAUGGGCUGUAAUUUUAAUAUAAGUUGUCUAAACGUUGUAAGAUA